AGUCCCGACUUGAUGGAGGUCUUGAAGAACUCGUCAGACCCCAUCGUCAGUCAUAUAUAAGAUUGGCUCAACUCGAGUUCAUUUGUGAAUCUCGUAGAAACUCUUUUCCAAUAUUCACACUUGCUUUGGCCAAAGAUUUUUUGAACUCAGUCUCGUAAAUUAUAUAGGACUUCUUCUUUUCUAUCAAGAUCGAUAGAUUCUAUCAGGUACAUUCUACUCCAAACAGCGAACCUGAACCUACUGAAGC
RNAcentral lists this long non-coding RNA (247 nucleotides) under Elaeis guineensis (African oil palm). Its description in RNAcentral is "long non-coding RNA (EGUI_LNC072589)". The record is from RNAcentral. Lineage: Eukaryota; Viridiplantae; Streptophyta; Magnoliopsida; Arecales; Arecaceae.